UACAGAGGGUGCGAGCGUUGUCCGGAAUCACUGGGCGUAAAGGGCGCGUAGGUGGUUUGAUAAGGGUGUGGUGAAAGUCCGGAGCUCAACUCCGGAUCUGCCGUGCCGACUGUCAAACUCGAGGGCUGUAGAGGCAGACGGAAUUCCGGGUGUAGCGGUGGAAUGCGUAGAGAUCCGGAGGAAGACCGGUGGCGAAGGCGGUCUGCUGGGCAGUUUCUGACACUGAUGCGCGACAGCGUGGGGAGCAAACAGG
RNAcentral lists this ribosomal RNA (253 nucleotides) under uncultured bacterium. Its description in RNAcentral is "partial 16S ribosomal RNA". It matches the Rfam family "Bacterial small subunit ribosomal RNA", at positions 524 to 776 of the family's 1533-position model. The record is from RNAcentral.